This 498-nucleotide ribosomal RNA is filed under the name uncultured bacterium. RNAcentral describes it as "partial 16S ribosomal RNA". It matches the Rfam family "Bacterial small subunit ribosomal RNA", at positions 30 to 523 of the family's 1533-position model. The record is from RNAcentral.
AUUGAACGCUGGCGGCAUGCCUUACACAUGCAAGUCGAACGGUAACAGGUCUUCGGAUGCUGACGAGUGGCGAACGGGUGAGUAAUACAUCGGAACGUGCCUAGUAGUGGGGGAUAACUACUCGAAAGAGUGGCUAAUACCGCAUGAGAUCUACGGAUGAAAGCAGGGGAUCGCAAGACCUUGUGCUACUAGAGCGGCCGAUGGCAGAUUAGGUAGUUGGUGGGAUAAAAGCUUACCAAGCCGACGAUCUGUAGCUGGUCUGAGAGGACGAUCAGCCACACUGGGACUGAGACACGGCCCAGACUCCUACGGGAGGCAGCAGUGGGGAAUCUUGGACAAUGGGCGCAAGCCUGAUCCAGCAAUGCCGCGUGCAGGAUGAAGGCCUCCGGGUUGUAAACUGCUUUUGUACGGAACGAAAAGCCCCGGGUUAAUACCCUGGGGUCAUGACGGUACCGUAAGAAUAAGCACCGGCUAACUACGUGCCAGCCGCCGCGGUAA